This 449-nucleotide ribosomal RNA is filed under the name uncultured bacterium. RNAcentral describes it as "partial 16S ribosomal RNA". It matches the Rfam family "Bacterial small subunit ribosomal RNA", at positions 29 to 523 of the family's 1533-position model. The record is from RNAcentral.
AACGAACGCUGGCGGCAUGCCUAACACAUGCAAGUCGAACGAACCCUUCGGGGUUAGUGGCGCACGGGUGCGUAACACGUGGGAAUCUGCCCUUUGCUUCGGAAUAACAGUUAGAAAUGACUGCUAAUACCGGAUAAUGUCGCAAGACCAAAGAUUUAUCGGCAAAGGAUGAGCCCGCGUAGGAUUAGCUUGUUGGUGGGGUAAUGGCCCACCAAGGCGACGAUCCUUAGCUGGUCUGAGAGGAUGGUCAGCCACACUGGGACUGAGACACGGCCCAGACUCCUACGGGAGGCAGCAGUGGGGAAUAUUGGACAAGGGGGGAAAGCCUGGUCCAGCAAUGCCGCGUGAGUGAUGAAGGCCUUAGGGUUGUAAAGAGCUUUUACCAGGGAUGAUAAUGACAGUACCUGGAGAAUAAGCUCCGGCUAACUCCGUGCCAGCAGCCGCCGUAA